Molecule: ribosomal RNA, 432 nt
Filed under: Pseudomonas aeruginosa
Lineage: Bacteria; Pseudomonadati; Pseudomonadota; Gammaproteobacteria; Pseudomonadales; Pseudomonadaceae
Description: bacterial SSU rRNA
Rfam family: Bacterial small subunit ribosomal RNA
Source: RNAcentral
GUCGGAUUAGCUAGUUGGUGGGGUAAAGGCCUACCAAGGCGACGAUCCGUAACUGGUCUGAGAGGAUGAUCAGUCACACUGGAACUGAGACACGGUCCAGACUCCUACGGGAGGCAGCAGUGGGGAAUAUUGGACAAUGGGCGAAAGCCUGAUCCAGCCAUGCCGCGUGUGUGAAGAAGGUCUUCGGAUUGUAAAGCACUUUAAGUUGGGAGGAAGGGCAGUAAGUUAAUACCUUGCUGUUUUGACGUUACCAACAGAAUAAGCACCGGCUAACUUCGUGCCAGCAGCCGCGGUAAUACGAAGGGUGCAAGCGUUAAUCGGAAUUACUGGGCGUAAAGCGCGCGUAGGUGGUUCAGCAAGUUGGAUGUGAAAUCCCCGGGCUCAACCUGGGAACUGCAUCCAAAACUACUGAGCUAAAGUACGGUAAAGGGG